This 371-nucleotide transfer-messenger RNA is filed under the name Tumebacillus flagellatus. RNAcentral describes it as "Standard tmRNA". It matches the Rfam family "transfer-messenger RNA". Rfam says of the family: Bacterial tmRNA, also known as 10Sa RNA or SsrA, is named for its dual tRNA and mRNA-like properties. The record is from Rfam by way of RNAcentral. Lineage: Bacteria; Bacillati; Bacillota; Bacilli; Caryophanales; Alicyclobacillaceae.
GGGGGCGUUUUUGGAUUCGACGGGGAUUGUUCGAGCAUGUUAGUAGCGAGUCGUGGGGUUGCGAGGCCACGUUAAAAACGCGAACCUAAAGUAAACGCUAAGAAACAAUCUUUCAACAACUCUUUCGCGUUCGCAGCUUAGUCUGUGAAUCCGUUCAGCUCUCUGUCUCUCGCGUAGCGGGUUGAACGUCACUUUAGCGGGAUAGUCGAAGGGAUCGUCCGUGGCCCUCCGAUGAAACUGUAACGGGCUGGUUGAAGGGAAGCGUGUCGCUCCGCGUCCCCGAUACGACAACCCAAUAGAGACGACUACACUCGUAGAAGCUCAUGUAGCGAGGUCUUCGGACAGGGGUUCGACUCCCCUCGCCUCCACCA